AUAUCAAUAAGCGGAGGAAAAGAAACUAACAAGGAUUCCCCUAGUAACGGCGAGUGAAGCGGGAAGAGCUCAAGCUUAAAAUCUCCGUGCAAGUUUUGCGCGGCGAAUUGUAGUCUAUAGAGGCGUGGUCAGCGUGGGCGCUUGGGGCAAGUUCCUUGGAAGAGGACAGCAUGGAGGGUGAUACUCCCGUUCAUCCCUGAGUGGCUCGUGCGUACGACCCGUUUUCUUUGAGUCGCGUUGUUUGGGAAUGCAGCGCAAAGUAGGUGGUAAAUUCCAUCUAAAGCUAAAUAUUGGUGCGAGACCGAUAGCGAACAAGUACCGUGAGGGAAAGAUGAAAAGAACUUUGAAAAGAGAGUUAAAGAGUACCUGAAACUGCUGAAAGGGAACCGAAUCGUUUCCAGUGUCUAUAAUCUGUGGCAUAUUUCAUUGGCGAGCGUUUGCGUGCGUGUGCUGUGGCAGUGGCUUUUUUGGCUGCGCCUGGUGUGUGUGGUGUGAGUGUUUGCUGGUGCCCUGUGCUGCGGUGGGACGUCAAGGUCAGUUCGUAUGCUGCGGGAAAUGGCUGCCGAGGAGGUAGGGCUUACGCUCCGCGUUUGUCUGUUAUAUCUUGGUGGACGAGUCGUCGCGGUUGGGACUGAGGUGCCUACAACGUGCUUUUGAGUGGGUUUGUGUCUCCGUGUGCGCCGUGUGCGGAUAGCUUGCUAUGCGUGUGUGGUUGUGUGUGGAUGGAUGCGGGCUUUAACUUGUCGCCGUUCGGGACGUUGACGAAAUGGAGCGAUCCGACCCGUCUUGAAACACGGACCAAGGAGUCUAACAUGUGU
This 818-nucleotide ribosomal RNA is filed under the name Phytophthora insolita. Its description in RNAcentral is "eukaryotic LSU rRNA". It matches the Rfam family "Eukaryotic large subunit ribosomal RNA", at positions 40 to 685 of the family's 3401-position model. The record is from RNAcentral. Lineage: Eukaryota; Oomycota; Peronosporomycetes; Peronosporales; Peronosporaceae.